RNAcentral lists this ribosomal RNA (397 nucleotides) under uncultured bacterium. RNAcentral describes it as "partial 16S ribosomal RNA". It matches the Rfam family "Bacterial small subunit ribosomal RNA", at positions 523 to 918 of the family's 1533-position model. The record is from RNAcentral.
AUACGUAGGUGACAAGCGUUAUCCGGAUUUACUGGGCGUAAAGGGCGUGUAGGCGGUCUUGCAAGUCAGAAGUGAAAUUCCUGAGCUCAACUCGGGCGCUGCUUCUGAAACUGCAGGACUUGAGUGCUGGAGGGGAUAGCGGAAUUCCUAGUGGAGCGGUAAAAUGCGCAGAUCUUAGGAAGAACACCGGUGGCGAAGGCGGCUAUCUGGACAGUAACUGACGCUGAGGCGCGAAAGCGUGGGGAGCAAACAGGAUUAGAUGCCCUGGUAGUCCACGCCGUAAACGAUGAAUACUAGGUGUAGGGGGUAUCGACUCCCUCUGUGCCGCAGUUAACACAAUAAGGAUUCCGCCUGGGGAGUACGGCCGCAAGGUUGAAACUCAAAUGAAUUGACGGGG